RNAcentral lists this ribosomal RNA (494 nucleotides) under uncultured bacterium. Its description in RNAcentral is "partial 16S ribosomal RNA". It matches the Rfam family "Bacterial small subunit ribosomal RNA", at positions 28 to 507 of the family's 1533-position model. The record is from RNAcentral.
GACGAACGCUGGCGGCGCGCUUAACACAUGCAAGUCGAACGGAAAGGCCUGCUUUCCCUUGUGGAUUGCGGGUACUCGAGUGGCGAACGGGUGAGUAACACGUGAGUGAUCUGCCCCCAACUUGGGUAUAAGCCUGGGAAACUGGGUCUAAUUCCCGAUAGGACUGCAGGGUGGUGCCUGUGGUGGAAAACGAUUUUCUAGUGGUUGGGGAUGAGCUCGCGGCCUAUCAGCUUGUUGGUGGGGUAAUGGCCUACCAAGGCGGCGACGGGUAGCCGGCCUGAGAGGGUGGACGGUCACAUUGGGACUGGGAUACGGCCCAGACUGCUACGGGAGGCAGCAGUGGGGAAUAUUGGACAAUGGGCGGAAGCCUGAUGCAGCGACGCCGCGUGGGGGAUGACGGCAUUCGGGUUGUAAACUCCUUUCGACCGCGAGGAAGCCACCUGGUUGGAAGGGUGGUGACGGUAGUGGUAGAAGAAGCACCGGCUAACUACGUG